UACGGAGGGGGCUAGCGUUAUUCGGAAUUAUUGGGCGUAAAGGGCGUGUAGGCGGCUUCGUAAGUCUUGUGUGAAAGCCCUCGGCUCAACCGAGGAAUUGCACGAGAAACUGCGUGGCUCGAGUCCGGGAGAGGAUAGUGGAAUUCCCAGUGUAGCGGUGAAAUGCGUAGAUAUUGGGAGGAACACCGGUGGCGAAGGCGGCUAUCUGGACCGGUACUGACGCUGAUACGCGAAAGCCAGGGGAGCAAGCGGG
This 253-nucleotide ribosomal RNA is filed under the name uncultured bacterium. RNAcentral's name for it is "partial 16S ribosomal RNA". It matches the Rfam family "Bacterial small subunit ribosomal RNA", at positions 524 to 776 of the family's 1533-position model. The record is from RNAcentral.